CCUACGGGCGGCUGCAGUGGGGAAUAUUGGACAAUGGGGGGAACCCUGAUCCAGCCAUGCCGCGUGUGUGAAUAAGGCCCUCGGGUUGUAAAGCACUUUCAGUGAGGAAGAACGCCUGGUGGUUAAUACCCAUCAGGAAAGACAUCACUCACAGAAGAAGCACCGGCUAACUCCGUGCCAGCAGCCGCGGUAAUACGGAGGGUGCGAGCGUUAAUCGGAAUUACUGGGCGUAAAGCGCGCGUAGGUGGCUUGAUAAGCCGGUUGUGAAAGCCCCGGGCUCAACCUGGGAACGGCAUCCGGAACUGUCAAGCUAGAGUGCAGGAGAGGAAGGUAGAAUUCCCGGUGUAGCGGUGAAAUGCGUAGAGAUCGGGAGGAAUACCAGUGGCGAAGGCGGCCUUCUGGACUGACACUGACACUGAGGUGCGAAAGCGUGGGUAGCAAACAGGAUUAGAUACCCCUGUAGUC
RNAcentral lists this ribosomal RNA (465 nucleotides) under Vreelandella stevensii. RNAcentral's name for it is "partial 16S ribosomal RNA". It matches the Rfam family "Bacterial small subunit ribosomal RNA", at positions 338 to 795 of the family's 1533-position model. The record is from RNAcentral. Lineage: Bacteria; Pseudomonadati; Pseudomonadota; Gammaproteobacteria; Oceanospirillales; Halomonadaceae.